Molecule: long non-coding RNA, 102 nt
Organism: Gavialis gangeticus (Gharial)
Lineage: Eukaryota; Metazoa; Chordata; Crocodylia; Gavialidae
Exons: 3
Source: RefSeq, a predicted model, not a curated record
AUAAACAGGGAUCCUGGUGCCUAUAUAUAUAUAUGAAUAUGAGACACCAAUAUAUAUGGUGUACAUUUCAUUUCAUUUCAAAUGAAACACCAAUAUCUAUCU